Long non-coding RNA from Oncorhynchus tshawytscha (Chinook salmon), 896 nucleotides. Lineage: Eukaryota; Metazoa; Chordata; Actinopteri; Salmoniformes; Salmonidae. The record is from Ensembl.
AAAGAUGAGGGAUGAUAAUGACUAACAGGUAAAUAUUAGGGAUGAUAAUGACUAACAGGUAAAGAUGAGGGAUGAUAAUGACUAACGUGUAAAGAUGAGGGAUGAUAAUGACUAAUGUGUAAAGAUGGGGGAUGAUAAUGACUAACAGGUAAAGAUGAGGGAUGAUAAUGACUAACAGGUAAAGAUGAGGGAUGAUAAUGACUAACAGGUAAAGAUGAGGGAUGAUAAUGACUAACAGGUAAAGAUGAGGGAUGAUAAUGACUAACAGGUAAAGAUGAGGGAUGAUAAUGACUAACAGGUAAAGAUGAGGGAUGAUAAUGACUAACAGGUAAAGAUGAGGGAUGAUAAUGACUAACAGGUAAAGAUGAGGGAUGAUAAUGACUAACAUGUAAAGAGGAGGGAUGAUAAUGACUAACAGGUAAAGAUGAGGGAUGAUAAAGACUAACAUGUAAAGAUUAGGGGCGAUAAUGACUAACAGGUAAAGAUGAGGGAUGAUAAUGACUAACAGGUAAAGAUGAUGGAUGAUAAUGACUAACAGGUAAAGAUGAGGGAUGAUAAUGACUAACAGGUAAAUAGCUGGGAUGAUAAUGACUAACAGGUACAGAUGAGGGAUGAUAAUGACUAACAGGUAAAUAUGAGGGAUGAUAAUGACUAACAGGUAAAUAUGAGGGAUGAUAAUGACUAACAGGUAAAUAUGAGGGAUGAUAAUGACUAACAUGUAAAUAUGAGGGAUGAUAAUGACUAACAGGUAAAGAUGAGGGAUGAUAAUGACUAACAGCUAAAGAUGAAGGAUGAUAAUGACUAAAAGGUAAAGAGCCGGGAUGAUAAUGACUAACAGGUAAAUACGAGGGAUGAUAAUAACAAACAGGUGAAGAGGAGGGAUGAUAAUGUGUGUG